AACAGGAUUAGAUACCCUGGUAGUCCACGCCGUAAACGAUGCUAACUCGUUUUUGGGUCUUUACGAUUCAGAGACUAAGCGAAAGUGAUAAGUUAGCCACCUGGGGAGUACGUUCGCAAGAAUGAAACUCAAAGGAAUUGACGGGGGCCCGCACAAGCGGUGGAUUAUGUGGUUUAAUUCGAUGAUACGCGAGGAACCUUACCAAGGCUUAAAUGGGAAUUGACCGGUUUAGAAAUAGACCUUCCUUCGGGCAAUUUUCAAGGUGCUGCAUGGUUGUCGUCAGCUCGUGCCGUGAGGUGUUAGGUUAAGUCCUGCAACGAGCGCAACCCCUGUUACUAGUUGCUACCAUUAAGUUGAGGACUCUAGUAAGACUGCCUACGCAAGUAGAGAGGAAGGUGGGGAUGACGUCAAAUCAUCACGGCCCUUACGCCUUGGGCCACACACGUAAUACAAUGGCCGGUACAGAGGGCAGCUACCUAGCGAUAGGAUGCGAAUCUCGAAAGCCGGUCUCAGUUCGGAUUGGAGUCUGCAACUCGACUCUAUGAAGCUGGAAUCGCUAGUAAUCGCGCAUCAGCCAUGGCGCGGUGAAUACGUUCCCGGGCCUUGUACACACCGCCCGUCAAGCCAUGGAAGUCUGGGGUACCUGAAGUCGGUGACCGUAAAAGGAGCUGCCUAGGGUAAAACAGGUAACUAGGGCUAAGUCGUAACAAGGUAACC
RNAcentral lists this ribosomal RNA (717 nucleotides) under uncultured bacterium. Its description in RNAcentral is "bacterial SSU rRNA". It matches the Rfam family "Bacterial small subunit ribosomal RNA", at positions 771 to 1501 of the family's 1533-position model. The record is from RNAcentral.